AACGAACGCUGGCGGCAUGCUUAACACAUGCAAGUCGAACGAGACCUUCCGUGCUUGCGGCGCACGGGUGCUUAACGCCUGGUAACUUGCCCUUAGGUUCUCAAUCACUUCCUGAAAGGUGUGCUUAUACCACUUAAUCUCUUCGCACCUAAGAUGUACCGCCUUUGGAUGGGUCCGCGUUGUAUUUGGUAGCUGGUAGGGUUCACGCCUACUUAGGCGACGAUCCAUAUCUGGUCUGAGAAGAGGAUCAGCGACACUGGGACUGGGACAAGGCCCAGACUGGUACGAGAGGCAGCAGUGGGGAAUAAUGGACAAUGGGCGAGAGGCUGAUCCAGCAAUGGCGCGUGAGUGAUGAAGGCCUUAGAGUUGUAAUGCGCUAUUGCCCGAGAUGAUAAUGACAGUACCGGGAGAAUAAGCUCCGGCUAACUACGUG
Molecule: ribosomal RNA, 433 nt
Filed under: uncultured bacterium
Lineage: Bacteria
Description: partial 16S ribosomal RNA
Rfam family: Bacterial small subunit ribosomal RNA
Source: RNAcentral